AAAAAAAAAAGAGAGAGAGAGGAAGCAGGGAACAACUGAGCCAAAACAAAAUUAUCCCCUAAGGACUUGACUUUGGACUUCCACAUAAAUGUGACCUUGAAGACCUAGAUACAUAUUUAUCAGCCGUACCUAAAUGAUGUCAGACUAAUGAGAAAAGAAGUGGACUAAAUAUGUAAAUGAUACGCCCAAACUAAGUGAAGACCAAACAAUGUCAUAUCAUGCUGUUCAAGAGAAGUUUCCAUCGUAUUUCAAUAAGAGGUAUGGUUGGGAGACUGAAGUCAUUGCCUUACACACAAAUAGACAUACUGAACUCAGAAGAACACAUACUGUGCUGGGCAGUGCCAUGGUCAAAUGGCAAAAGCCAAAGUGGAAUAGAGUAGCUAUGAGAUUUUGUUGGUUUCAAGAAGAAAGUGGCUUGUUUACUUCUGAUCAAAUCAGCAAAGUAAGAUGUGAUGAAAAGACCUCAAUUAUACCAAUUUCUGCUUAGUAGAUGAUUGUCAAAAUGGCUCUGAUAAGAGUAAUGUGAUACAACUCUAAGCACAAAUUGUGGAAGGGAAAUAUGAUCUAAUCAUAUGACCUUGGUUAAUAAGUUUCCAAAAUAGGCCUCAGUAGGUCUUAUCUACUUGAGAAUUUCAUAAUCUGAUGUCAGCCUUGUCUUUCUUGACCUCUGUUGCUUUGGAUACUGUGAAACAGAUUCCUCCUUCUGGAAAUCUUUUCUCCCUUUGGGUUCCAUAACCUGAUGGUCUUCCUGCUACCCUGAGAGCUCCGUCUCGGUUUCCUCUGUGAGCUUGCUUCUCAGAUGGUGCUGUGCCUCAGGCCCUAUCUCAGCUCCGACCUUUUCCCAGUCAAUUUCAUAUACACUUAUGACUCAGCUACCAUAAAUAUGCUGACCAUUUCCAAAUCUCUUAUCUCAAGCCCACCCUCUUCUCUUGAACUUGACACCCAGAACUUCCUUUUAUUUGUAUUAACAAAAGAAAAAAAAAACCCAAACCCCAUAAAACUGUAUACUUUAAAUGUACAAAGCAGAUCUCAUCUUCCUCAUACAUCUGAUACCCUCUUAUAAUCUUUGUUUCAGUCAGUGACAUCACCUAUCCAGUUAACAGAUACGGAGACUUAGGACUCAUCCCUGACUUUUUGGUCAUUAAAUGCAUUGCAAAUAUUUUACAUCAUAAAUAUAACUAGUAUUAUCUAUACCUUUUUCAGGUGUGUGGCUGUAAGGAAAGUACAUCCCUGGUUUUUUAGCAUUCAGACCGAACAUCUCUUUUUUGGCUUGGCUAAGGUGAUGAGCUCUGUCUUGCUAUUGGUCUAUUGCUGAGUGGCAUUUGAAAGUUGUUGAAGAGGUGAACAAAAUGCAAAGCGAUCAAGGAGUUCCCUUGUAAAUCAGAACUCCUUACCCUUUCCCUCUAAGGUCUCAAGUUAUUACAACACUUCUGAUGGCCUGGGAUGGUCCUAAGAAGUCUCAGUUGUCAGAAAUGUACAAUAACAGCCCUUAAGGAGGAAUCCACCGUGUUGGUGGUGACAGUGGUGGUGGAGUUGGUGGUGGUGUCUUAUCCUGGGGGAGGGUCAGUGAGGAACAGAGUCAUGUGAUUGCAUCACAACCUGGUCUACCACCUUGGACCGUGGGGUUUGUCAAGAGAAAUGGCUGAUUAACUGUAAAUGCAACUAUCUGUCACUAGAGUUGUAACCAGGAACCCAGUGUCCUAUGGUGUGGAGUACCCAUUGCCACAACCUUUAUGCCUGGGAGCUGAACAUCUUGUUUCUGGUACCAGCCUCACCAGAGCAGUGGUUGGAACCUUAGGCAGAGUGACUAGACUUCUCAGUUUCUUUUCUGCGUAACGAUAGUAAACAGGACUACCUCAUUUGGACUAAGUAAGCAGCUGGAGGAUUUUACAUUUCAAGGAAGGAAAAGCUCAGAGAAUGAAGAAGGCAUUUCUUACAAGCAGUAGGAUGGAAGCUCUAAUUUGAUUUAUCUGUGUACUGACUUAAAUUUGGCUUAUUUCCUAUAGCAGCAGGUAAAAGCUCCUAGAACAGGGGAUGGCAAUUGGUGGGUAUUCAAUAAUGUGUGGAUUUGAAUCUCAUUCUUGCUUAAUCAGACACACCUCAUACUAUCUUUGAGAAAUUAUAAAUGACAAGCCGGCCACCACUCCAAACUGACAUUUCCCCUGCAGAAGAGUCAGUCCAACCUUAACAGGCUUGGGAAUAGCAGGAAGAAAGGGUUUAAAGCCAGCAAGUAAAUUAAAUACCCAUGCAUGUGACUUCACAAUAUAGCCCUUGUUUAGAAGGUUAGCCCACCUGUUUCCACCUCCAGCUCCUUACCCUUAUCCUAAGCCACCACUGUUUCUCACUUGCAUUCCUCACUGUUUCCUACCUGGGCAAUACAACAUGAUCUUCUUCUGAAACCAUCAAUGGCUUCCCCAUUGAAUUCAGAGUAACACUCAACCUCCUCACUAUGACCUGAAAGACCCCUAAGGAUCUGGCCACAUCUCUCCUGCAACCUCAGCCCGCCAAAAUCCCUCCCACGUCAGGAUUGCCACACUGCUCCCUCCCUUCCUUUAGGUGUAGCUGAAAUGUCACCUUAAAGUAUUCUCUGACUGUCACACCCAAAGCAGGAAAGUGCUAUUCUCUAGCUCGAUAACUUCUUGUUUGAUUUUUUUUUUAACACUUCACAUUCUAUAUUGUUUUAUAUUUUUGUAUGUUUGCCUUUUUUGGUCAUCUGUGCCCUGUACUACAAUGAAGCUCUGUGCAUGCAGGGACCAUGGCUGACUCUUGUAUGACUGUGUCAUAUCUAGAAUUGGGGCUGGCAUGCAGGAAAUCUUAGUCAAAUGGAUGAAAUGAGGUGGUUUUGUUCAGUACUCCCAAAUUAUGGAAUUAUACACCUAAUCUACCCUUGGGAACCACAGAGAAUAAUUGUUUGAUGCAUUUGUUUUUUUAAGAAGCUGAGUUUAUGACAAUAAGCUCUGUCUGGCUGAAUCACUUAAAAUACAUGUGUACCAGAACAUUCAGCAAACUAUCAUGACAAACAAUUUUGAAAUAUGAUAUGUAAUAACAGAAAUGGAAAAGGUUUUAUUUAUAAAACCAAUCUAAAAUGUGUCACUCCCA
RNAcentral lists this long non-coding RNA (3099 nucleotides) under Homo sapiens (human). RNAcentral describes it as "HSALNT0372381". Lineage: Eukaryota; Metazoa; Chordata; Mammalia; Primates; Hominidae. The record is from RNAcentral.